UUGUUAAAAAAAAGAGAAAAAGAAAACACAAUUUCAUGAUAUAUAAAUGUGAAAAGACGAAUGAUUAUGAAUGACAUUUAAUAUUAUCGUACGCCGAUGGCGGGAAGAGGCUGCUGUGCGUAGCAGAUUGCGCAAAGUAUUCUUGUGUUUUCUUGCUCGAAGUGUUGACGUGCCGUGAUCCUGACGAAGGGGAGAGUGUACCAGUGUUCAGGGAUAGACGAAGCGUCAUGCACUGGUUUAUGGUAGAAUCUCGAGGGAACACGGGCGGAAAUGGAGGGAGGUGAUAAAGGAUUCCCACCGUUGCCCCUUCGCCACUCCCAGCCGGCAUAACGAGAGUAACACAAGAGGCCAAGGACACCACACAAUGUACACCUGCAAGAAAGAUCGAAAGAAAUAAGAACACGACGAAAGAAAGAGAGAGAGAGAGAGAGAGAGAGAGAGAGAGAGAGAGAGAGA
Molecule: long non-coding RNA, 456 nt
Organism: Scylla paramamosain (green mud crab)
Lineage: Eukaryota; Metazoa; Arthropoda; Malacostraca; Decapoda; Portunidae
Exons: 3
Source: RefSeq, a predicted model, not a curated record